CGAAUGCUGACAUAAGUAACGAUAAAGCGGGUGAAAAGCCCGCUCGCCGGAAGACCAAGGGUUCCUGUCCAACGUUAAUCGGGGCAGGGUGAGUCGACCCCUAAGGCGAGGCCGAAAGGCGUAGUCGAUGGGAAACAGGUUAAUAUUCCUGUACUUGGUGUUACUGCGAAGGGGGGACGGAGAAGGCUAUGUUGGCCGGGCGACGGUUGUCCCGGUUUAAGCGUGUAGGCUGGUUUUCCAGGCAAAUCCGGAAAAUCAAGGCUGAGGCGUGAU
This 273-nucleotide ribosomal RNA is filed under the name Escherichia coli. RNAcentral's name for it is "partial 23S ribosomal RNA". It matches the Rfam family "Bacterial large subunit ribosomal RNA", at positions 1291 to 1567 of the family's 2925-position model. Lineage: Bacteria; Pseudomonadati; Pseudomonadota; Gammaproteobacteria; Enterobacterales; Enterobacteriaceae. The record is from RNAcentral.